RNAcentral lists this ribosomal RNA (328 nucleotides) under uncultured eukaryote. Its description in RNAcentral is "partial 18S ribosomal RNA". It matches the Rfam family "Eukaryotic small subunit ribosomal RNA", at positions 1470 to 1795 of the family's 1831-position model. The record is from RNAcentral.
CCCUUAGAUGUUCUGGGCCGCACGCGCGCUACACUGAUGCAUUCAACGAGUCUAAAACCUGGUCUGAGAGGGCUGGGUAAUCUUUUGAAAGUGCAUCGUGAUUGGGAUAGAUGAUUGCAAUUCUUCAUCUUCAACGAGGAAUGCCUAGUAAACGCAAGUCAUCAGCUUGCAUUGAUUACGUCCCUGCCCUUUGUACACACCGCCCGUCGCUCCUACCGAUUGAACGAUCCGAUGAAAACUGUGGAUUGAGAGUCUGAGUGGGUUCGCCUACCUCAACUUUCGAGAAGCGGUUUAAAUCUUAUCGUUUAGAGGAAGGAGAAGUCGUAAC